This 468-nucleotide ribosomal RNA is filed under the name uncultured bacterium. RNAcentral describes it as "partial 16S ribosomal RNA". It matches the Rfam family "Bacterial small subunit ribosomal RNA", at positions 28 to 507 of the family's 1533-position model. The record is from RNAcentral.
GACGAACGCUGGCGGCGUGCUUAACACAUGCAAGUCGAACGGAAAGGCCCUGCUUUUGUGGGGUGCUCGAUUGGCGAACGGGGGAGUAACACGUGAGUAACCUGCCCUUGUCUGUGGGAUAACUUCAGGAAACUGGGGCUAAUACCGGAUAUGAGAUCCUGCUGCGUGGGGGGGGUUGGAAAGUUUCGGCGGUGGGGGAUGGACUCGCGGCUUAUCAGCUUGUUGGGGGGGUAGUGGCUUACCAGGGCUUUGACGGGUAGCCGGCCUGGGAGGGGGGCCGGCGACAAUGGGACUGCGGUACGGCGCAGAAUCCUACGGGAGGCAGCAGUGGAGAAUAUUGCACAACGGGCCGAAGCGUGAGGCAGCAGCGCCGCGUGCGGGAUGACGGCCUUCGGGGUGUAAACAGCUUUCGCCUGUGACGAAGAGUGAGUGACGGUAACGGGUAAAGAAGCACCGGCUAACUACGUG